This is a non-coding RNA of Coturnix japonica (Japanese quail), 3491 nucleotides long. Lineage: Eukaryota; Metazoa; Chordata; Aves; Galliformes; Phasianidae. The record is from RefSeq and is a predicted model, not a curated record.
AGUCUCAACAUUGGUGAGCAUCCAUCUUGACUGAAAGCCUCAGCACUGCAAGAACUGCCCUGUCUCUUUCGACCAAGUCUGCUAGUUUAUCCAAAAGUUGGCCUCUUUCUGAUGCGUCCAUCCUCCUCCAAACUGAACCUAGAGAAAAAGCAAGGCGAGCUGCUCUCACCGCUUUGUCUGUAUCAACCUAUCAAGAAAGAAGAAAUAACAAAUAAAGAUUUAGAAGAAGAAGAAUUAGAGUAAAUACUUCAGAUAAGAUGUGGGCAUGACCUAUUUGGUAUGAAGUUAGAGUUGAAGCAGGGAAAAGCCCACAGUGUGCCAUCCAUCUAUGUGCUGCAUGGUACUGCCACUGGUUAAACACUCAGCCCUGUGUGUCCAUGCACGGUGUGCCUGGAGUGUUGGCCUGCCAAUAACUUUCUGAAGGUAAACCAUUAGGAAAAUACAAGGGAUAAGCAGUCAGAAAGAAACUGAUGUCUACAAAACGAGGCUGAACAAUAUACUCUGCAAUGCAGUGGUAACAAAACGUACAGUGGAAAACCUUCUCAAAUGAUGUGUGAGGGAAACGAUGAUCUGCAUUCUUAAUUCACUAUUGCUUAGUGAUGAUGUCACCAGACGCUCUUCAGGCUCCCCAGCUGUAUAAGUAUGUCCUGCACAAAAUCCAGCCCGCCAGACAGCAAUGCUACCUUUUCCUCUUUUGGCUUCUCACUGUGCCACAUGCUGAUGUAGCAUCCAUUAUUUCAAUUUAGCCUCAUUAAAGGGAUUACUUCGCAUCUGGUUGUUCAAGAAAAUUCAUCUAAAAAGAGGAAAGUUCAGACUGUAUUUUCUGUUGAACUAAAGCCACCACAAACACUUCACUCAUCCGGCUGUCCCCUUCAACCUGUGGAAAAAACUCUUCUACUUACAGCACAUGAAGACUAUAAAGUAUUUUCUGCUUUUCAAAGAAACUUUAAAGCAAUUCCUACUUUUUUAGGUUAAUGAAGAAUUUCUGUGCUGUUAGUGGCAAAGUACAGAAGCAACAACAUUUAUCCUGCAGCUCACGUAACGUUUCAUGUAUCCCUAUGGAACCAACUCCAAGCUUCCCUCAUCCUUUCACUUUUUGCUGUCUUGCUCUGCACUGCAUUCAAAAACAUUCAUUUCUGAAGAUGGGAUGCCACCAGAAUGAAGUAUGCUCCAGGUUUCCACUGAUAACAACGAAAAAGCAAUCACUGAAUGACCUGGGCAAGGACCGCAGUGGUUUUUAUGGAGUGUGAUCCCUGAUGGCAUUUACUGCAACUUGAAAAUGAAUCAAUGAAACAUUUCUAACAAAUCCAUUAAAUCAGGAGAGAAGGGGAGGGUGUCUUUGUUUACAGGAUCAAUGAUUGAGCUGUCAGUGGGCUUUAAUGAAGUUGUGGCUAUUAAGAACUUGAUCCUGGAAACUUCCACAAGCGCUCAUUUAAGACUGUGGGAAUGAGGAGGGGUUUGUACAAACAAGGUUAUAUUAGUCUGUAGCUUUCCUGUGCUUUGCAUCAGCUGUGCUUUGCUGGACUCAUGCACUCCUUUUGCACAACACAAACCAGGGCAAUCUCUCUAUUUGUACGCAGGAGACAUAUUCUUCCAUUUAAGAAUGCAGCAGAUUAUUUAUAGGUAACCGUUUGCUUUUUUAUAUGUUCAUCACCAAAGAGCACUCCCAGAUAAGCUAUGCUGUAUAAAUAUAUUCUCCCAGAAUUAAAGACACAGCAGGCAACACACACAAAAAAAAAUACACCAGGCAAAUACAUUCUGACUUAAAAGCUCCAUUUGGGAAAAUUACCUUACACGUGAGAAAUUGCUGGAAUGUCAACUUCAUUUGCAGUGGCCCCUUAUGGCCUGAUCACCCUCCCUGGCACGAUAAAUCACUGGCAAGAUCCUUACCUUAACACGUUUGAUCUCAGCUCAGCAAGACUUGGUUUUGAUGUGAAGAACUCCAGAUCUGUUAGGUCAGAGACAAAUAGCAGAGCCACUGACCUGCAAAGUGCUAACUCUAUAUUAGACCCAAGUGAGCAGCAAUAAGCUCCUGGGAAGUUCGCCUUAGUUUCUACUUUUUAUUUUGAAUAUCCCCAAAAACUGCACUUAGAAGGCUUUGCUAAAUGAUGCCAGCGAUGUUUCCUUCCGUGUCAUUAUGUACAAAACCAAAAUCAACUGAGGUCAAACAAACAAAUGAGCAGGCAGUAUGAGAAGCAUUAUUUGUAUGAACUCAGAGCUACCUGCACAACUGAGCUACGUGAAAUCAAACUCAGUACUUAUCACUUUCUUAUUUGAUUUACACAAAUGGUUUGCACUAGCCCUUUUCUACCUGUGCCAUCCUUACUAAGAGGCAGCAUAAACAACCAUUUUCACCAGUACAUUCCUUUAGGUGACUGCAAGUGCCUGUAUGUGCACAUCUUUACACACAACUUCAAAUUACUCCUGCACAAAAGUAAGUUUGUGCUCAAGUCUGAAUGUCCACACCAUGCUCAGUCUGCAGCCUUGGUCUGAGGCUAUUCCUUAUUAUCCUGGUUAAACAGUCACUUAUCUCUAGGAUAGUAAGCAGGAGUGUUAGUCUACCAGAAAAUUGGAUGUUCUUAAUGGGCUUUUGGGGGAGAAUAGCUUUGCAUCAUCAGCAUUAAGUUAAAUCACAUUAAGUACCUACUUACAACAUAGGGAUUACCACUUAUGACAUCUUUGGUGAAAGCCUUUAAAACAAAUUGUGUUUGUUAGAAGAAGCUCUGAGAUAACAAUUCCCAGAAGUCUGAUUUAUAAACCUUUUUGCUCUUCAGGAAGAUGCAAAGGAACACUACACCUCUUCUCUUAUUCAAUACUGCAACAAAAACUCUCAGGCUGUUAAUUCUUUUCAGUGCAGGCGCUUGAAAAACCUUGAUUUAUUUACUUGAGGUUAUUCCUCUGGAGAAAAGAAACCUUUAGCAAGAUUCCCUGGCCUCAGAGUUUCGUUCUGAUUUCUCUUUCAGUUCUUUCUGCUGGUUGGCCACUGACUUUACUUACAGCAAACUGGAAAAGGCCAUUAUACUUUUUAUUAUGCAUAAGGCUGAUUGGGGAGAACUGGGCUUAAGCUGUCAAAGCACCCUGCUGUGCUUGGAUACCUGACAAAUUUACACCCUGAGGUACGCUGUGGUGCUAAGACUAAAAUUGGAUGUGUUCUUGCAAGAGCUGAUUAGAGCUGAUUACAGUCCCAAGCAAAUAAACCACUUCGGGGUGUAGCAAAACACUGCCAACGUUUAACAUUUUUAUGUAUGAUUGACAAGUUAUUCCAUAUAGAAACAGAGGCCUGCGUGAAAAAUGAUCUCUUCUAUUUACUUUUAAAUAGAAGCAGACCAGUAACUCAGAGCAUGUAAAUUAAAAACAUGACCCUCACCUUAUGCCAAACAUGUAGUUCUAAAAAUGUGGACUAAGGCAAAAACAAAACCUACCUAGACAGAGAUUUCCUUAAAUGAGCAAAGUACAUUAAAAGUAAGUCUUGUCAAUAAAAAGCCUUCCUU